RNAcentral lists this unclassified non-coding RNA (2337 nucleotides) under Daphnia pulicaria. Its description in RNAcentral is "cytochrome P450 3A14-like, transcript variant X2". Lineage: Eukaryota; Metazoa; Arthropoda; Branchiopoda; Diplostraca; Daphniidae. The record is from RNAcentral.
ACGUCCGACAGAGAAAAUAAUUUUAUUGCUUCGUCACUGUAAUAUAUUCGUCAGCACAUGACGCAAUAAGCUGUCCUCUAACUCAAAUAGCACUCGACUCUCCAGGUUUACAACUUUUUUUCAUAAAAGUAAGUAUGAUUUGCAUCAUACGUUCAGUCCUGCACAGCAACGAGCCCAAAAUGGACGCAUCGGGAUUUCUCUCAUCGCCCGCUACCUGGGAGUUAGCGAUCGCCUCUUCUCUAUACAUUCUUUACAGAUAUGCCACUUCCACAUUUAACUACUUUUCCGACCAAGGAAUUCCUGGUCCCAAACCAAUCCCCAUCUUCGGUAAUAUGUGGGGCGUUUGGAAAGCGAACCUUCCUGCGUACGACUUGGCAUUAGUAAAUAAAUACGGAAAGGUUUUUGGUUAUUUCGAUGGCCCGAUUCCAAACCUUUGGAUCACGGAUGCCGAUGUGAUAAAGGCGAUGUACGUCAAAGAUUUCGACCAUUUUGUUGAUCGCAGAUCUUUCGAGAUAAAAACGAAAGUCAUGCGCAAAUGGUUGAGUCUAAUGAGAGGUCAAGAGUGGAAGGACAUUCGCUCGUCCGUUACACCUGCCUUUACCACCGGAAAAAUCAAGCGGAUGUCCGUCUUGAUCAAAGAUUGUGUUGCCAGUUUGUGUGACCGUGUCACGACUGUCAUCGAGAAAGAUGGAAAACUUAACGCCAAGAUGGUGUUUGGUGCCUUCACCAUGGACGUAAUAGCAAGAUGUGCUUUCGGUUUAAAAAUUGACACUCUCGGGGAGAAAGACGACCCUUUCACUAAAAAUGCUCACAACAUUUUCAGUCCAGCAGCUAAUAAGACACCCGUUAUUCUUCUACCAUAUAUGUACCCUGGCAUGUUUUCUGUGUUUGGAUUGCUCACCGAGCGUUUAGUUAUUGUCACCAAAGAAAUGAAAUUCUUUUUCAAAUUAUUAGAAAACGUACUGAAGGAUCGCUUGGAGUCCAAACAGAAAUUCAACGAUUUUAUUGAAUUGGCUGAUGAAGCAAUUUCAGAAUACACGAAAGAAGUCGAUGGAAAAACUGUGCCCAUGUGGACUCGCGAGGCUAUACAUGAGAUCAUAAUGGGACAGUCAUCAUUCUUCAUGCUGGCGGCAUUUGACACAACAGCCACAACUUUGACUAGUAUCUGUUUCCAACUUGCCUUAAAUCCGGAUAUUCAAGAAAAACUGUACGAAAGCAUCGCUGCGAAAAUGGAAGAUUAUGAUGAAGUUUCCUAUGAAAUGGUCCAAGACGUUCCCUAUCUGGAAAUGGUUAUUCAAGAAGUAUUGCGCUUUUAUCCACCCGUUAUCCGUCUUGAGCGAGUGUGUACGAAAGAUUACUCCUAUGACAACGGCCGCAUCAAAAUAAAAAAAGGUCAAGUUAUUACCAUUCCCACUUAUGUUCUCCAUCAUUCGGAAGAAUACUACCCCGAUCCAGAAAAAUUCGAUCCUGAACGGUGGACUCCUGAAAACAAAGCUAAACGUAAUCCUUACUCUUACAUGGCAUUCGGCACUGGUCCACGCAAUUGCAUUGGAAUGCGCUUUGUUAUGGAAGAAUUGAAAUUGGCUCUUUGUUCUUUGGUUCAUAAAUUUCGCUUUUUUCCAAUUGCAGAGACACCGGAGAAGCUCCAGUUUGACUCCGGACUUAAUCCAGUCAUGCAGCCGAUCGGUGCGACGGUGGGCAUUGAACUCCGUCAAUCAAAUUAGUUAAAACUGAAGAGUGUUGUUGCGUCAUUCUGUUAGGAAAAUUAAAAAGGGCAUUUCAACAGCCGGUUGUAAAUGUUUGCCUUCUAUUAAUAACUAAAAAGUAAAUAAAUAAAUAAAACAUAACAGCAAGGUGUCUGUUGAGCAAUUGUCUGACAACAGCGCCUUCUCUCCCUCCCUCUUUAUUUUGGUCGUGUCGAAUCCCCCACAUUUUUGCGAAAUGGAAAGUUGAAUUAGUUCGAGAACAAGAGCUCACGAGUUAAGAACCCACGUGUUGGUAUUGGCCACAAUACUGUUUCUUGAACCAGAUUCCAUUAGUGUUCAAUUCUGAAUUAGCAACAUGUCCACUCGGCGGGGAAUUUUGAUAUGCCACCUCAACUCACAAUCACUUUUCCGAACAAAGGAAUCCCUAGUCCCAAGCCAAUCCCUUUCUUCGGUAAUGUAUGGGACGGAACGAGUAGUGCUCAAUAAGAUCUACUUAUUACAUAAGUGCGUAAAUCCUUUUGAAGAAACGUUUUCGCUUAGUUCAUUUCGCUAAUAAAAGUUUUGGAGAAAAUAAUCAUCGCCGCCCUAAAAGGUCUAUAUUUCUAUUAACAAAUAAAAAAUUCAUAACACA